AUUGAACGCUGGCGGCGUGCCUAACACAUGCAAGUCGAGCGGUAACAGGUGUAGCAAUACAUGCUGACGAGCGGCGGACGGGUGAGUAACGCUUGGGAAUCUGCCUAUUAGUGGGGGACAACCCGGGGAACUCGGGCUAAUACCGCAUACGCUCUACGGAGGAAAGCCGGGGACCGCAAGGCCUGGCGCUAAUAGAUGAGCCCCAAGUCGGAUUAGCUAGUUGGUAGGAAUGGCCUACCAAGGCGACGAUCCGUAACUGGUCUGAGAGGACGACCAGUCACACCGGAACUGAGACACGGUCCGGACUCCUACGGGAGGCAGCAGUGGGGAAUAUUGGACAAUGGGCGAAAGCCUGAUCCAGCGAUGCCGCGUGUGUGAAGAAGGCCUGCGGGUU
This 394-nucleotide ribosomal RNA is filed under the name uncultured bacterium. Its description in RNAcentral is "bacterial SSU rRNA". It matches the Rfam family "Bacterial small subunit ribosomal RNA", at positions 29 to 424 of the family's 1533-position model. The record is from RNAcentral.